AAUGAACGCUGGCGGCGUGCCUAACACAUGCAAGUCGAGCGAGAAAGUCCUUUCGGGGACAAGUAUAGCGGCGAACGGGUGAGUAACACGUAAGAAUCUACCCUUUAGUGAAGAAUACCCUCGAGAAAUCGAGGUUAAUACUGCAUACGUCCCUUCGGGGAGAAAGAUGGCCUCUUUGCUAUCGCUAAAGGAGGAGCUUGCGGACUAUUAGCUAGUUGGCGGGGUAAAGGCCCACCAAGGCGAUGAUGGUUAGCCGGCCUGAGAGGAUGAUCAGUCACACCGGAACUGAGACACGGUCCGGACUCCUACGGGAGGCAGCAGUGGGGAAUAUUGGACAAUGGGCGCAAGCCUGAUCCAGCAAUGCCGCGUGUGUGAAGAAGGCCUUCGGGUUGUAAAGCACUUUAGCCUGGAAAGAAAAAACUUUGGUUAACACCCAAAGUCUUGACGGUACCAGGAGAAUAAGCACCGGCUAACUCUGUGCCAGCAGCCGCCGUAA
This 496-nucleotide ribosomal RNA is filed under the name uncultured bacterium. RNAcentral's name for it is "partial 16S ribosomal RNA". It matches the Rfam family "Bacterial small subunit ribosomal RNA", at positions 29 to 523 of the family's 1533-position model. The record is from RNAcentral.